This 611-nucleotide transfer RNA is filed under the name uncultured Prochlorococcus sp. RNAcentral's name for it is "partial contains 16S ribosomal RNA, 16S-23S ribosomal RNA intergenic spacer, and 23S ribosomal RNA". The stretch from base 140 to 213 matches the Rfam family "tRNA". The record is from RNAcentral. Lineage: Bacteria; Bacillati; Cyanobacteriota; Cyanophyceae; Synechococcales; Prochlorococcaceae.
UGGAUCACCUCCUAACAGGGAGACAACAAAAUGUUUAAUAUUAAUUUUGUCACCUUAGGUCGAUCGGUAUCUCACAUCCUUAAUUAAUUAAGGAUUUCGUUUCCUAAGUUUUUUCUAGGUCACACCCAUUAUUUUUCCUGGGCCAUUAGCUCAGGUGGUUAGAGCGCACCCCUGAUAAGGGUGAGGUCCCUGGUUCAAGUCCAGGAUGGCCCAUAUCUCUAUGUUGGGGGUAUAGCUCAGUUGGUAGAGCGCCCGCUUUGCAAGCAGGAUGUCAGCGGUUCGAGUCCGCUUACCUCCACUGAUUACCACCUCUUCCAUAACUUUGAAGAAAGGAAAUGUUUUGAGUUGUGAUUAAAUUCUGAACGAAUCUAGCUUCCUAAUGAAACCAUUAAGAUGCUGGACUCAUUGAAUUAAUUUCAUUGUUUUCAGAGAACCUUGACAACUGCAUAGAUUUUUUUAAAGACAAUAAGCAUCUUUAAUGAUGCAGAUUUAUUAUUUGUGCGAAUGCAUUAAUAACAAUUCUAUUAAGCUGAUGCUUCAAUUUUUUGAAGUUAUUGGUCAAGCUACAAAGGGCUCACGGAGGAUACCUAGGCACACAGAGGCGAUGAAGG